GAUGAACGCUAGCUACAGGCUUAACACAUGCAAGUCGAGGGGCAGCAUGAAGUUUUCUUCGGAAGACUUUGAUGGCGACCGGCGCACGGGUGAGUAACGCGUAUCGAACCUGCCUCAUACUCGGGAAUAGCCUUGCGAAAGUAAGAUUAAUGCCCGAUGUUCUUGGUGUUCCGCAUGAGGCGCCAAGCAAAGAUUCAUUGGUAUGAGAUGGCGAUGCGUCCCAUUAGCUUGUUGGCGGGGUAACGGCCCACCAAGGCAUCGAUGGGUAGGGGUUCUGAGAGGAAGGUCCCCCACAUUGGAACUGAGACACGGGCCAAACUCCUACGGGAGGCAGCAGUGAGGAAUAUUGGUCAGUGGACGGAAGUCUGAACCAGCCAAGUAGCGUGCAGGAAGACGGCCCUCCGGGUUGUAAACUGCUUUUAGUUGGGAAUAAAACGCGGGACGUGUCCCGCCUUGUAUGUACCAUCAGAAAAAGGACCGGCUAAUUCCGUGCCAGCAGCCGCAGUAA
RNAcentral lists this ribosomal RNA (508 nucleotides) under uncultured bacterium. Its description in RNAcentral is "partial 16S ribosomal RNA". It matches the Rfam family "Bacterial small subunit ribosomal RNA", at positions 28 to 523 of the family's 1533-position model. The record is from RNAcentral.